GCGUUGGUGGUAUAGUGGUGAGCAUAGCUGCCUUCCAAGCAGCUGACCCUGGUUCAUUUCCUGGCCAAAGCA
Molecule: transfer RNA, 72 nt
Filed under: Bos taurus (domestic cattle)
Lineage: Eukaryota; Metazoa; Chordata; Mammalia; Artiodactyla; Bovidae
Also listed under: 5 other names
Rfam family: tRNA
About the family: Transfer RNA (tRNA) molecules are approximately 80 nucleotides in length. Their secondary structure includes four short double-helical elements and three loops (D, anti-codon, and T loops).
Source: Rfam by way of RNAcentral